RNAcentral lists this long non-coding RNA (433 nucleotides) under Nicotiana benthamiana. RNAcentral's name for it is "long non-coding RNA (NBEN_LNC020691)". Lineage: Eukaryota; Viridiplantae; Streptophyta; Magnoliopsida; Solanales; Solanaceae. The record is from RNAcentral.
GAUUUUAAAGGAAGAGUUUUGAAACAAAUCUCGAGGAAACAUUUAAGAGUUUGGAGAAAACACAGAUCUAAAAGAAUCGGAAGAAUCUCGAAGGUUAGGAUUUUAGAAGAACCACAAAUGGUGAGAAAGGAUCGAAAACUCAUCGAUCUAAGCAGGAGAAGUCAAGAUUAGGAUUGAGUUGCGAUGGCUAUCCUGAGUUAGGUCAAAGAUGACCGGAGACAGCCAUAGAACUGAAAUCAACCAAAGUCUGGGCUAUGCUUCUUCAAGGUCUGGACUUGAAACUAUGAUAACCGAGCAUGUAGGAGUCAUAGAAGGAAGAUACAUGCCUUUAAUGGCUUUGGAUGCCAUGGAUUUGGGAGAUUUUUAGGCGGUGGUUGAAGGUGUCGGCUACGGUUUGAGAGGAGUUUUGAGAGAGAAUUGGGAGAAGGAGGAG